UACGUAGGGUGCGAGCGUUAAUCGGAAUUACUGGGCGUAAAGGGCGCGUAGGCGGCACUGCAAGUCAGUUGUGAAAUCUCCGGGCUUAACCCGGAAAGGUCAACUGAUACUGCAGGGCUAGAGUGCAGAAGGGGCAACUGGAAUUCUCGGUGUAGCGGUGAAAUGCGCAGAUAUCAGGAGGAACACCGGUGGCGAAGGCGGGUCUCUGGGCCGAUACUGACGCUGAGGAGCGAAAGCGUGGGGAGCGAACAGG
RNAcentral lists this ribosomal RNA (253 nucleotides) under uncultured bacterium. RNAcentral describes it as "partial 16S ribosomal RNA". It matches the Rfam family "Bacterial small subunit ribosomal RNA", at positions 524 to 776 of the family's 1533-position model. The record is from RNAcentral.